Molecule: long non-coding RNA, 887 nt
Filed under: Salmo salar (Atlantic salmon)
Lineage: Eukaryota; Metazoa; Chordata; Actinopteri; Salmoniformes; Salmonidae
Description: lncRNA (ENSSSAG00000110574.1)
Source: RNAcentral
CAGAUGUCAUACUUCUAUAAACAAGCCAAUGGAGUUGUGGGCUGCAUGAAGAGAUUUCACUAUUUCUAAUCAGCUGUUAAGGAGACUAAAGCAACAACACAACAUUGAGUCCUUGGGGCAGGUUGUAGAAGGAGAACAGCAUGGGAGCCUGCUGUGCGCGGUGAUGUUCACAGAUGUGUUGCCAUGACUUCCCUAAGACAUUUGGAUGAAUGGACUCAAGCGGUUGGGUUCUGAAAAGCAGCUGCGUCGCAUUCAGGGAAGAGGGGGGUGGGGACUUCGCCGCACCCAGCCUGCGGCUUACCUCACGGAUGCCGACUCACAUUACUGGUCCCAACGCACUGAAUGAGAGGAUAGGUAGAGAGAGAGGAGGAGAGAGCAGAGGAGAGGAGAGGGAAAAGAGAGAAUGGAGGAGAUCAGUUGCAGAGCAAAGGCCUAAGGAGUGGGAGAAGGAGAGUUGGUUUACUUACGAUAUUCAUAAAGCUCUAUAAUACUUUUAAUUAAAUUCAAGUGUACUGUCUUGAAUGAUUUUAUCUGAAAUAAGGGUUGGAGACUGUAUUUACAGUAUCUGCUAUGAUUAACCUUAUAUAACUCUGAUUCUACUACCAGCCUUCUGCUUGUAUGCAUAGCAAUAUCCAUGAUAAAAUCAAACAAAUGUAUGUUUUAAAUGUUCAUUUUGCAUUCCUACAAAACCUUCCAUGUAUUUAGAAGCCUUUUGUUAGCCCUUUAUCGUAUGAAAUAAUUCAAGUUCCCCCAUCAGGUGUGCAGAGGGCACUUCUAGGGUUUAUUAUGUAAAAGUCUAUUAGCAGACCUUCACAGCUUGCCACCACAUGGGUCUGACAGGCAGGCUGCUACACUCUCAGCAUCAUGAUGGAGAUUGAUGUGCACGC